This 497-nucleotide ribosomal RNA is filed under the name uncultured bacterium. RNAcentral describes it as "partial 16S ribosomal RNA". It matches the Rfam family "Bacterial small subunit ribosomal RNA", at positions 28 to 507 of the family's 1533-position model. The record is from RNAcentral.
GAUGAACGCUGGCGGCGUUCCUAAUACAUGCAAGUCGAGCGAACGGACGAGAAGCUUGCUUUUCUGAUGUUAGCGGCGGACGGGUGAGUAACACGUGGAUAACCUACCUAUAAGACUGGGAUAACUUCGGGAAACCGGAGCUAAUACCGGAUAAUAUUUUGAACCGCAUGGUUCAAAAGUGAAAGACGGUCUUGCUGUCACUUAUAGAUGGAUCCGCGCUGCAUUAGCUAGUUGGUAAGGUAACGGCUUACCAAGGCAACGAUGCAUAGCCGACCUGAGAGGGUGAUCGGCCACACUGGAACUGAGACACGGUCCAGACUCCUACGGGAGGCAGCAGUAGGGAAUCUUCCGCAAUGGGCGAAAGCCUGACGGAGCAACGCCGCGUGAGUGAUGAAGGUCUUCGGAUCGUAAAACUCUGUUAUUAGGGAAGAACAUAUGUGUAAGUAACUGUGCACAUCUUGACGGUACCUAAUCAGAAAGCCACGGCUAACUACGUG